Molecule: non-coding RNA, 98 nt
Filed under: chicken gut metagenome
Description: NiCo riboswitch
Rfam family: NiCo (Nickel/Cobalt) riboswitch aptamer
Source: RNAcentral
ACAGUACAAACUGAGCAGGCGAUAGACCCUUUACCGGGUUUGUGGGGCCGGGCCGCUUUUGCGGCAGCAGAUGACGUCUUCGACAUCUGUGGGACAGU